UCUAAGAUGGCAGAUGAAUUGCAUUGAUUUUAAGAGUCAAACAUAGGGUUUAUCCCUUCUUAGAG
This 65-nucleotide transfer RNA is filed under the name Syllis sp. JYC-2022. Its description in RNAcentral is "tRNA-Leu". Lineage: Eukaryota; Metazoa; Annelida; Polychaeta; Phyllodocida; Syllidae. The record is from RNAcentral.